UGGAAGUAAAAAAACGUAACAAGGUCUCCGUUGGUGAACCAGCGGAGGGAUCAUUACAGAGUUGCAAAACUCCCUAAACCAUUGUGAACGUUACCUAUACCGUUGCUUCGGCGGGCGGCCCCGGGGUUUACCCCCCGGGCGCCCCUGGGCCCCACCGCGGGCGCCCGCCGGAGGUCACCAAACUCUUGAUAAUUUAUGGCCUCUCUGAGUCUUCUGUACUGAAUAAGUCAAAACUUUCAACAACGGAUCUCUUGGUUCUGGCAUCGAUGAAGAACGCAGCGAAAUGCGAUAAGUAAUGUGAAUUGCAGAAUUCAGUGAAUCAUCGAAUCUUUGAACGCACAUUGCGCCCGCCAGCAUUCUGGCGGGCAUGCCUGUUCGAGCGUCAUUUCAACCAUCAAGCCCCCGGGCUUGUGUUGGGGACCUGCGGCUGCCGCAGGCCCUGAAAAGCAGUGGCGGGCUCGCUGUCGCACCGAGCGUAGUAGCAUACAUCUCGCUCUGGUCGCGCCGCGGGUUCCGGCCGUUAAACCACCUUUUAACCCAAGGUUGACCUCGGAUCAGGUAGGAAGACCCGCUGAACUUAAGCAUAUCAAAAGCGGGAGGAAA
RNAcentral lists this ribosomal RNA (603 nucleotides) under Chaetomium globosum. Its description in RNAcentral is "eukaryotic LSU rRNA". The stretch from base 232 to 385 matches the Rfam family "5.8S ribosomal RNA". The record is from RNAcentral. Lineage: Eukaryota; Fungi; Ascomycota; Sordariomycetes; Sordariales; Chaetomiaceae.